AUGUGCUUUCUUGGUAUCCUAAAUAUAAGAAGAUUAAUACUUCAAGUUGCUGAGUUGAGAAAGAGAUGGUUGAAUCAAAAGAAUUCCUUUUUUGAAGUUCAAUUUUUAUCAGAGGACUAUAUAAAUACUAUGCCUUGUUCCAUUAAAACACUCAAGGGGUUAUACGAUAUAUCGGGUGUAGAAAUAGGCCAACACUUCUAUUGGCAAAUAGGAGGUUUCCAAAUUCAUGCGCAAAUACUCAUCACUUCUUGGGUCGUAAGUACUAACUUGCUAGGUUCAGUUGUUAUAGCUGUUCGGAAUCCACAAACCAUCUUGUUCGACAGUCAUAAUUUUUCUGAAUAUGUCCUUCAGUUUAUUCGAGACUUGAGCAAAACUUAG
This 378-nucleotide ribosomal RNA is filed under the name Triticum aestivum (bread wheat). RNAcentral describes it as "partial small subunit ribosomal RNA". Lineage: Eukaryota; Viridiplantae; Streptophyta; Magnoliopsida; Poales; Poaceae. The record is from RNAcentral.